This 441-nucleotide ribosomal RNA is filed under the name uncultured Glomeromycotina. RNAcentral describes it as "SSU rRNA". It matches the Rfam family "Eukaryotic small subunit ribosomal RNA", at positions 569 to 1017 of the family's 1831-position model. Lineage: Eukaryota; Fungi; Glomeromycota. The record is from RNAcentral.
CGCAGCCGCGGUAAUUCCAGCUCCAAUAGCGUAUAUUAAAGUUGUUGCAGUUAAAAAGCUCGUAGUUGAAUUUCGAGAUCAAAUUGUUGGUCGUGCCUCGGUACGUACUGGCAUUAUUGAUUUCUCCCUUCUGAAGAACCACGAUGUCAUUAAUUUGGUGUCGUGGGGAAUCAGGACUGUUACUUUGAAAAAAUUAGAGUGUUUAAAGCAGGCUCACGCUUGAAUACAUUAGCAUGGAAUAAUGAAAUAGGACGUUUGAUUCUAUUUUGUUGGUUUCUAGGAUCGACGUAAUGAUUAAUAGGGAUAGUUGGGGGCAUUAGUAUUCAAUUGUCAGAGGUGAAAUUCUUGGAUUUAUUGAAGACUAACUACUGCGAAAGCAUUUGCCAAGGAUGUUUUCAUUAAUCAAGAACGAAGUUAGGGAUCGAAGACGAUCAGAUACCG